RNAcentral lists this long non-coding RNA (16785 nucleotides) under Chlamydomonas reinhardtii. RNAcentral's name for it is "long non-coding RNA (CREI_LNC000442)". The record is from RNAcentral. Lineage: Eukaryota; Viridiplantae; Chlorophyta; Chlorophyceae; Chlamydomonadales; Chlamydomonadaceae.
AUCUACACACUCCCCUGUGUGUGGCCCAAGUAGAUCUGCAGGGAAGUAUGGUAUGUUCCUGUGGCAGGAAAGUUCACACCGCUGUUCACAGCUACUCGGGCAUUUUAGUCCUGAGAGGGGCAGGAGCCAUCCCUCUAGGGCACCCACAGGUGGGCCAUGCAUUGCCACCUGCCAUACCUGCAUCAGCACCCCAACUCCUAGUCCCAGCCUGAUUAUACAAUGCACCAUGUGCCAACACUCCAUACAAAUGCUGGAAACACAAACAGCCAACUGCCCCACAGCCACCUGGACCCACAUAUCCCUCCCCCCCCCCCCGCCUCCUUAGGGGCACCCACAGGUGGGCCAUGCAUUGCCACCUGCCAUACCUGCAUCGGCACCCCAACUCCUAGUCCCAGCCUGAUUAUACAAUGCACCAUGUGCCAACACUCCAUACAAAUGCUGGAAACACAAACAGCCAACUGCCCCACAGCCACGUGGACCCACAUAUCCCUCCCCCCCCCGCCCGCCUCCUUAGGGGCACCAUCAGAUGGGCCAUGCAUUGCCACCUGCCAUACCUGCAUUGGCACCCCAACUCCUAGUCCCAGCCUGAUUAUUCAAUGCACCAUGUGCCAACACUCCAUACAAAUGCUGGAAACACAAACAGCCAACUGCCCCACAGCCACCUGGACCCACAUAUCCCUCCCCCCCCCGCCUCCUUAGGGGCACCCACAGGUGGGCCAUGCAUUGCCACCUGCCAUACCUGCAUCAGCACCCCAACUCCUAGUCCCAGCCUGAUUAUACAAUGCACCAUGUGCCAACACUCCAUACAAAUGCUGGAAACACAAACAGCCUACUGCCCCACAGCCACCUGGACCCACAUAUCCCUCCCCCCCCGCCUCCUUAGGGGCACCCACAGGUGGGCCAUGCAUUGCCACCUGCCAUACCUGCAUCGGCACCCCAACUCCUAGUCCCAGCCUGAUUAUUCAAUGCACCAUGUGCCAACACUCCAUACACAUGCUGGAAACACAAACAGCCAACUGCCCCACAGCCACCUGGACCCACAUAUCGCUCCUGCAUCCUUAUAAUGGGGCGGCUUGGUUUCUCAGGCAUUCUCUAAUGGUGGAGCGCCUAUCUUCAGCUCAGUUUCUGGGUCUCUCUCGUGGGGCGGCUUUGUGCUCAGGCGUUCUCUAAUGGUGGAGCGCCUCUCUUCAGCUCAAGUACUUGGCGUCUGCUUUAUCUGGCAGCCAGCCCCUUUCUUUGACAUGGGACGUUACAGGCAGGGGACCAGGCAACGACAAGGCGGGCAGCAAGCAACAGGCAGCAAGCAAAACCGCGCCCCUUAGACCACAGGAGGAGAAAGGACCCGCAAUGCAACCACACCAAACGGGAAGGGGAGCCAGGCACCUGCUNNNNNNNNNNNNNNNNNNNNNNNNNNNNNNNNNNNNNNNNNNNNNNNNNNNNNNNNNNNNNNNNNNNNNNNNNNNNNNNNNNNNNNNNNNNNNNNNNNNNGGCAGCGGCAAUGGACCAGGUAGGCGCAGUAAAGGCAGACCCAUUUUGGUACAGUGUGACACCGUACUCUUUUGCCAGGGUCAUCUGUUUCAGCGUCGUCAGGUGGUGUGACCUAUGGGCUGGGAGAAGGUGGGCCUGUGUGGAGCCAGCUAUGCUUGCCUGGCGCGGCAGAAGGGCUCGGGUUACUAUCCCAAGACGGCCCGAGUCAUUUAGGGCAAGGACCAGGGCCCGCUGGGCCACGCGCGCGUAUUGCGGCAGGAGGGAGCCCAGGCCCAAGCCGUAUUCGUCGGCGGGCAGGAGGGAGGUCCGGGUGGGGAAGCUGCGGGGGAGUCCGUAGCAGCGCUUUGCAUAACCAGCCAGGGUAGUGUCGAGCGUUGUUAUGUCCUGUUUUGUGAAGGGCAUUGCUGCGAAUCCAUAUGCAACUGUGGUGUGCACGCACUGUUGUAUCAUGCGCAGGCGUUGUGCCGGUGUCGCCAGGGAUGUGGCAAUGGCUGUGCCCUUGUCCUUAACAAUCUCGGUGACUCUUGCGACAUGUGCCGACCAGUCCAGCGAGAACGUGAGCUGCACUCCCAGGUACUUGUACGGCUGGGUCGGGGGGAAGUACGGGACAGGGGUCGUGCCAAUCUUAAUUGUGUUGGUCAUGUUGCGGCGCAUGGCGGCAAGGGUAGCUUUUCCUGUGGGCCCGUCAAGGUUGGGGUCCGAGCGAGAUUUGUCGUGCCAGAUGGCGGUGGUGGCACACUUGGUGUGAUUGACACGCAGGCUCGCCCACUCGGCGUAAGAUGCGAUUUUGUCACAUUGAACCUGCAGGUCGUCGAGCGAGUUGGUGAGCGCCGCCAGGUCGUCUGCGUACGCGGCGGCACUGCAAUGGUAUUGCAGGUUUUCGCUGGGGGUCAGGCAGCCGUAGUGGUAGCCCCGUCCACCCGCAUGGAGCCAGCGGACAAGAGGUUCCAUGAACAGAAUAAAGAGCACAGGUGAGAGUGUAUCACCUUGCACGGUGCCUCGCUCUAUAGGAAUGGCGGAUGUGCUUCCGUGUUCGGUGCGGAUGCGGGUGGUCGCAUGUGCAUACAGGUUGCGGACUGCGCGGAUCAGGUCCGUUGGCAGCCCAAGGUCAAACAUUAUUUGUAGUAAUCGGUCCUGGUCGAUUGUGUUAAACGCGGAGCUAUAGUCCACGUAUACCGCAUAGACAUCUUUUCCAAACAGUGCGGCAUCCUCAAGGGCAUGUACCAAAUUUAGGACCUGCCUUUCGGUGUUGCAGUAGGCACGGAAGCCUUCCUGCGCUUCACUGAAUAGCUGGAGGGGGCCAGCCAGUUCGCCAAUGCCCAAGGUAAGCAUGGACGUGUACAGCUUGUAGCAGGUAUUUGCGAGCGCAAUGGGCCGUUUGUUUUUUAUGUCCAGGGCGUCUCCAGGUUUGGGGAGUAGCACGGUCUCCGAUGCGGCCCAGGUUUCAGGUAUUUGUGACUUGACGUACAUGAUUUGCAGGAUACAGUGGAGGUUGCGCUUCAUGCCUGAUGGCAGGAUACGGAGCAGUUCGUUUGGUAUGCCGUCAGGGCCUGUCGCCUUGUUUCUGGAGAGGUGAGAAAUGCACUGCUCAAAAUUUGCCGUGUCUGCCAUGCUGGGGAGCAUGGAGUGUGUGUCAGGGUGCCGGUUGCGGUCCAGUGUGAAUUGAUCUGUUGCGUCGGCUUUCUCAAAUGGGUAGCCGCGUGUGGCGUUGCUGGGUAGUCGGAAGUCCCCAGUGCGGGUGCCGCGUGGUGGGGCGGACAGCUUUCGGAAGUGGGUUUCGAGUAUGGCGAGGAUGCUGGUGGAGUCAGUCGUCACCUCCCCAGUUUCUGGGUUCCGGACCGCUGGGAGACCCCGUUCCAUGUCUUCCUUCUGAAAGAUUCUCUUGUGCCCCUGUGCAGGGCGCGUGGCCAGGGUAUGUUGCAGCGCUGUGGCAGCGGCCUCUCGCUGGGCUUUGGCGCGGUCCGCCACUAGCUGGCGGUGCUCGGCCUGGCAGGCCUUUAUUUCGUUCCGCAGCUUUGCUGCCGCAUUGGCGGCGUCAACCUCAGGUAGGGCCUGGGGCCCUUGCGUGAGGUUUGUCAGUUGUGUCUUCAGGGCCACUUCCUUGUCCCAUAGGGGCUUUAGCACCCGUGCGGUGGAGCGUGAUGCGUGGUGUUUGCCAGUGAAGGGGGCUUUCCGGGUGCACUCUUCAAGGAGGCAUGUUAGCCCGGUGUCCAGUGCGGAGGCAAGUUGUUCUGCAAGUUGGUUGAUAUCGGCCUUCUGGAUGCUCGUGUCCUGCGCCAGGUCUCGGUGCAUGACGCUGGCGGGGUAGCCUGUGGGGUCCGUGCUGUGCCUUGUGAGUGCAUGUUCAAUUGAUUGCGUUGCCUGCCUUGUUGCGGAAUGCAGGUCGGCUGUUGCUUCCACCAAGGCUUCCUCCACUCGGGGAAAGCCGCUCAUCCGAAUCUGGUCCGAAGUUGGUCCGAAGAUCUGUCCGAAACCUGAUCCGAAGCCUGGUCCGAAAGACCAUCCGAAGCUGGUCCGAGUUCCUGUCCGAAAGACCCCACCCCUGUCCGAAGUUUUUGUCUCCGAAGCUGGUCCGAAGUCGGUCCGAAUCUGGUCCGAAUAGCAUCCGAAUUACAAGUAUUUCGGACACUUUUGUCGGAUGCCAAGAUUCGGACGCAAUGUUCGGACCAGACCGGCCAUCCGAAUGGCAAUUCGGACGCGCCCAGCCCCAUUUCGGACACGCCCAGCUGUUGAUUCGGACGCACCCAGCCCCAUUUCGGACAUGCCCAGGCGUCAAUUUGGACACGCCCAACACCAUUUCGGACGCCGCCACCACCCGCUGCUGCCCAGUGCCCCGCCUGCUGCGCUUUUGUGGUGUCUACAGACACCGUUGCAUGUCCUGUCAUGCCCUUGUCAUGUAGCAGCGGCUCCCCUGCCCUUGUUCAACCCUGUACACAUACCCUUUUUGCUUGCUCCUGGGUCCCUUUGGCUACCUCGUCGCGCUCCUCGGCCCUACACAUGCGCCUCCAUGUUUGCGCACAUAUCACCUGCAUACACAGCACCACCGGCGUUGCAAGAGGCAUGGUGACAAGCCUUUCCCCGAGAUACAUGCUGUAUCUCACAUGCUGUAUACAUGCCCUGUCCGUUGAGCUGCCCACUGCACACAUGUCUUGGUGCUCCUUUUCAUGUGGAUUGCAUCACGAAAUCUGACUUACCACCAAAACGCAAAAGCGCCAUUGCCAGCAGCACAUGCACCGAUGCCGAGACGAAGGUUGACAUGAGAAUAGGGCGGCCGGGGAAUUGCAAGCAGAUAUUUGCAUGCAUAAGCAAUUGCAAACUAUUAGGACCCCGUGCGAAAGCGCAGGCAGGGCAGACGAAUGGUUGUUGACCGCGACAGGAAAACACUGCUGUAGACGUUUUGAGCUGAUACAAUGCGAGUUCUCAGUCAAAAACUUACAUUCUUGGGCCGUGAGCCUGUUUGGCCUUGAAUUUCGUGCAGGUCGGCGAAGGUCAGCGACAAAUCCUCCACUUUGACCAAGUUUGUAGCACCUCCGCCAACCCCUCAGGCAUGCUCGCAAGCUUGUGUCUAACAUAGUUGCUAUGAAUAGCAUCGUGCAGUAUCAUAGAGGGUUUGAGAACGUGGAACACUGCAUGCCGAUAUCGCUUGCAACAGAGAUAGGCUGUAACAGGCUAGCGAUACAUUUAACAACUUGUUAGUAUUAAAUCUGUAGUGUAUAGUAUGAGUCUUAUAAGAGAGUCAUACUAUUAAGUUGAGAAGCUGAAUGUCGGGUCUCCCCAUGCAGCAGCGCUGCCCCAUUGCGCAUGCCAGCUCGCCUCCCUUCUGGUAAUGCCAUUGCUAGGACGCUUAAUCCAAUGUAUGCGGCUGCGUCGGAUGCGGGCAUGGGAUGCAUGUGCCUGCCGCGCAGAUGGGGCCACACAAGCAGGCCACGCCCAGAAACACACUUCCCCACAGCAUACGCACACAGGACACGCCCCGCUGGGCUGCCAGCUUGAAGACACGCACAGUUGGCCAUCGUGCUGUGUUAGGCCAAGCGAUGGGCGUUGGUUGCGUCGGAUGCGGGCAUGGAUGGGAUGCAUGUGCCUGCCGCUCAGGUGGGGCCACACAAGCAGGCCACGCCCGGAAACACAGUUUCCCACAGCGCACACACACAGAACACGCCCCGCUGGGCUGCCAGCUUGAAGACACGCACAGUUGGCCAUUGCGCUGUGUUGAGUCAAGCAUUGGGCGCUGGUUAUGUCCGAUGCGGGCAUGGGAUGCAUGUGCCUGCCGCGCAGAUGGGGCCACACAAGCAGGCCACGCCCAGAAACACACUUCCCCACAGCAUACGCACACAGGACACGCCCCGCUGGGCUGCCAGCUUGAAGACACGCACAGUUGGCCAUCGUGCUGUGUUAGGCCAAGCGAUGGGCGCUGGUUGCGUCGGAUGCGGGCAUGGAUGGGAUGCAUGUGCCUGCCGCUCAGGUGGGGCCACACAAGCAGGCCACGCCCAGAAACACUCUUCCCCACAGCAUACGCACACAGAACACACCCCGUUGGGCUGCCCGCGUGGAGACACACGCAGUUGGGCAUUGUGCUGUGUUGGGCCAAGUGACAAACAACAAGCACCCCGCCCACGCCCACAGCAUUGCCCUUGCUCACACCCUUGCACUUGCCCCUGCCCCUGUACACGCAAACGCGCACGCAUGCACGCAAGCACGCACGCACACACGCACACAGGUGCACACCCACGCGCACGCACACGCACACACGCCCGCACAAGCGUGCACACACACCCACAAAUGCACAAGCUCAUGCUCAUGUACGCACAUACGCGUGCGCGUCAAUACACACGCACCUCGUGUACACACGAGCACACGCAUACACAAGCCCACAUAUGCACACACACACACAUACUGUCCUACGCGUAAUGUUUUCCUUGUGCUCUUUAACACACACACACACACACAUGCGCACACACACACACACACACACACACACACACACACACACACACACACACACACACACACACACACGCCUUUGGCAGAAGGUACGCUGGGAAUGGUGACACUUUGAGACGCUGUGGCGGUUGGCCAUUGACGCAGUGCCGCUGCCGGGAAACUCGCAUACGCCGUUGGCUCGCCGUGAGCCAUGCGGCUGUGGGCAGCACGGCCAUGGGGGCGCCGCGGCGGAGGCACACGCCGCCGCCGCGCCCACGCCACGGCAGCACCACUUCUGGGAUUGCGCGGUGGCGAAGGCCGUUGUGGCGCAGAUUAACGCACACAACCCCGGUCCGGCUCCCAUCAGCCAAGCCCAGCUGUGGCUGGUCCAGGCGCCGCCGGGUUUUCAGCAGUGUGUUUGGGACAUGGUGGUGAUGGACACGCCUGCGAGUGGAUUGCCUCUUUAAUGUCUACUAUCAAUAGCUACUCGGCAUUAGGUGAGGUGUGAGCAUCAGGGGAUAAAGAAUUCGAGGUGUACGCGACGAACGGAAAACCCACCGGGGUCGAUGGGUUUUUUUCGUUUCGCACACAAGCCGUAUUCCUCAAUUCUUAUUGUCUGUACCACUUUAUAGAGCCAAACUGUAUUCGUUUGUCAUCAACAAUGCAUCCAACACCAGCCGCAGACUGUGCGAGGAGGGAUUGAUUUCGAACUUAGCUGGCAGACCUCACUAGAAUGACUGUCUUCUCCCGGUUCGGUUGCCUUGGGAACCCCACUCAAAUGCUACAUGAGCUUGGUCGGGCAGUGGAGCGUGCGCGGCAUUGGAAGUCCACUUUCAAGCGGCAAUUCUUCCUCGCGGCAGUUUCGCUGGGGAAGUGUGAGCCCGGCAGCCAGCUGGUGGUCUACAAGGAUGGCGUGGAGUACACCACACUCGGGGAAAGCCGCUCAUCCGAAUCUGGUCCGAAGUUGGUCCGAAGAUCUGUCCAAAACCUGAUCCGAAGCCUGGUCCGAAAGACCAUCCGAAGCUGGUCCGAGUUCCUGUCCGAAAGACCCCACCCCUGUCCGAAGUUUUUGUCUCCGAAGCUGGUCCGAAGUCGGUCCGAAUCUGGUCCGAAUAGCAUCCGAAUUACAAGUAUUUCGGACACUUUUGUCGGAUGCCAAGAUUCGGACGCAAUGUUCGGACCAGACCGGCCAUCCGAAUGGCAAUUCGGACGCGCCCAGCCCCAUUUCGGACACGCCCAGCUGUUGAUUCAGACGCGCCCAGCCCCAUUUUGGACACGCCCAGCUGUUGAUUCGGACGCACCCAGCCCCAUUUCGGACAUGCCCAAGCGUCAAUUUGGACACGCCCAACACCAUUUUGGACGCCACCACCACCCGCUGCUGCCCAGUGCCCCGCCUGCUGCGCUUUUGUGGUGUCUACAGACACCGUUGCAUGUCCUGUCAUGCCCUUGUCAUGUAGCAGCGGCUCCCCUGCCCUUGUUCAACCCUGUACACAUACCCUUUUUGCUUGCUCCUGGGUCCCUUUGGCUACCUCGUUGCGCUCCUCGGCCCCACACAUGCGCCUCCAUGUUUGCGCACAUCCCUAUGGCACCCAAAUGGUGGUAAGGAUCCAAAAACGGGGGUGACGAUCCCCGGACAGGGGGUAACGAUUGUUUCGGGCCCGCACGGCCUGGCACGCCCAGGACGCAAGCCAAGUGGUGCUGUGGUCACAUCUUAGCUACUUGUCAUGCAUACGCACAUUGCAGACUGGGCGGAGUGCCUUGCGUCUCCGACAAGUGAACAUGCCGACAUUCUAGUCUGCAAAGUGCGUAUUGUAGUGACAGUUUGUGUUAAAACAGUCUAUAAUGUGAAGCCUUAAACUUAUGUAGUCUUUGCGCUCGUGAACGAGGAAGUCUGGGGGCUGUAGGCCGACUGUGUGACAUUGUGACAGGGACCCUUGGGCGUGGUAACGACCCUAAGCCAGGGGUAACGGGGUUCCUGCAUGGGGUUCUCGCGGGCCUGACUUAACAAGCAGCAUAGAGCGGCCCCUGAUACUAAUACACAUAUACUGAUAUAGUACCAUACAUAUACUGAUACACUGCACUUCAUGCCGGUGCCGCUGCACUUCUGUUCCUCUCCCCCACUUUGCUCUCUCGCGCUUGCUACUUCUCUUUGUAACACAAAUUUAUGCUAGCUCAAAUGUCAGUAGAACAAGAGCUGGCGGCAGACGCUGCUUGGCUGGCUUGGGACGCGAGUCCUCACGCUGCUGACUGCUCGUUGACCGGCUUGGCAACGCUGCUCACACGUCAGCUGCAGCCAGCUAUUACUUGAGAGAAACGACUAUGCCUCAUAAUCUAUCAGCUGCGCUUCAAAUGUCCGACCGAGAAGUCUCGGCGGUCGCCGGCGUCAACAACGCCAUUCAACAUCGUGUUCUGUCAACAUCACCCUCGCCCCGCACGCCAGAGUCCGCAGGUUAGUCUGCAGGUUAGUCCGCAGGUUGAAUGACGAUGGGAUGCGUUGAACCUAGUGGUACCUCGCAAGCCAGUGUGCAUGGUUCAUCUUCUCGCGCUGUGUUGGGUUGUUUGGUGGAGCCCCCGCCUACAACUAGUGACUGUCUGCUGCCUCCCUUACCAGCGCUCGCUGUAAGGUGUUUUUAUGGCUCCCUUGCCACGGUGCCUUGUGUCUCACAUACCACCCCGCCCCCCUCCGCACGCACACACCCUGCCCCGCGACAGCUUGCUGCCCAACCCCUGUUGUACCCUAUGGACCGUAUGGUUGGCUGGACUGCCCCUACACCUCCAGCAUUGUGCUCAUCAACGGUGAGUGUCCGUGACACGUGUGGGCGCGCACACAUGCACAUGUGCACACAGACACGCCUUGUGUGGUAGGCCCCGUGCACUGCCAAGCACUCUGUCCAUGGCUGGCCUUGACAUGCAUUGGCACCUACCCGUCUUGUGGCAGACGAUUAACUGGGUGUGUCUAUGUGUGUGCACGCAUGCAUGCAGUCGCUGCCGGUGGAAGCAAAACUACAGGAGCCAGCGUGACACCAGCUGUCUGGCGCUAGAGAUGGAGGCGGGCGCGGCGGCGCCAGUGGCAUAGUUUGGCAUGGUAGCUGUGGUGGCGGCGGGCGUCAAGGUGGUGGGUCAGAGACGUUGUGCCCAGCAGACAUGCAAGUGGUUGCUGCCAGUGGCUAGUUGCACGUUCACAUGCAGACAUGACUAGGCGUAUUGUUGCAUGUACAUAUGGACUUGCGGUAGUGUUGCAUAAGUGUUGCAUGAGCAUCUGCACUUGUCGUGCUAUCAAGCCUUGACAGAUGGCUAGCAUGUGGAGUAGCGGUAGGACUACAUAGUUCUUACGUUAGUACUGAGGUAGGCCUUCAGCAAAGCACAAGGCUGCCAUGUAACGGGCGUCAAAGUGAUGGUUACUGGUGUGCCUUGUAGACCGUGACAAGGCUGUUACCAUGGCUGGUUAAGAUGGUAAGCAGAUCGUAGUGAGAUCGUAACGAUGCCGGAGGGGUAACGAUCUACGACCUAGGUAACAGCGAUCGUAACGAUCGUUUGGGUGCCAUAGGGCAUAUCACCUGCAUACACAGCACCACCGGCGUUGCAAGAGGCAUGGUGACAAGCCUUUCCCCGAGAUACAUGCUGUAUCUCACAUGCUGUAUACAUGCCCUGUCCGUUGAGCUGCCCACUGCACACAUGUCUUGGUGCUCCUUUUCAUGUGGAUUGCAUCACGAAAUCUGACUUACCACCAAAAUGCAAAAGCGCCAUUGCCAGCAGCACAUGCACCGAUGAGACGAAGGUUGACAUGAGAAUAAGGCGGCCGGGGAAUUGCAAGCAGAUAUUUGCAUGCAUAAGCAAUUGCAAACUAUUAGGACCCCGUGCGAAAGCGCAGGCAGGGCAGACGAAUGGUUGUUGACCGCGACAGGAAAACACUGCUGUAGACGUUUUGAGCUGAUACAAUGCGAGUUCUCAGUCAGAAACUUACAUUCUUGGGCCUUGAGCCUGUUUGGCCUUGAAUUUUGUGCAGGUCGGCGAAGGUCAGCGACAAAGGCCUCCACUUUGACCAAGUUUGUAGCACCUCCGCCAACCCCUCAGGCAUGCUCGCAAGCUUGUGUCUAACAUAGUUGCUAUGAAAUAGCAUCGUGCAGUAUCAUAGAGGGUUUGAGAACGUGGAACACUGCAUGCCGAUAUCGCUUGCAACAGAGAUAGGCUGUAACAGGCUAGCGAUACAUUUAACAACUUGUUAGUAUUAAAUCUGUAGUGUAUAGUAUGAGUCUUAUAAGAGAUCAUACUAUUAAGUUGAGAAGCUGAAUGUCGGGUCUCCCCAUGCAGCAGCGCUGCCCCAUUGCGCAUGCCAGCUCGCCUCCCUUCUGGUAAUGCCAUUGCUAGGACGCUUAAUCCAAUGUAUGCGGCUGCGUCGGAUGCGGGCAUGGGAUGCAUGUGCCUGCCGCUCAGAUGGGGCCACACAAGCAGGCCACGCCCGGAAACAAGGUUUCCCACAGUGCAUGCACACAGAACACACCCCGUUGGGCUGCCCGCGUGGAGACACACGCAGUUGGGCAUUGCGCUGUGUUGGGCCAAGCGAUGGGCGCUGGUUGCGUCGGAUGCGGGCAUGGGAUGCAUGUGCCUGCCGCGCAGAUGGGGCCACACAAGCAGGCCACGCCCGGAAACACAGUUUCCCACAGUGCACGCACACAGAAGACACCCCGUUGGGCUGCCCGCGUGGAGACACACGCAGUUGGGCAUUGCGCUGUGUUGGGCCAAGUGACAAACAACAAGCACACGCCCACGCCCACAGCCUUGCCCUUGCUCACACCCUUGCACUUGCCCCUGCCCCUGUACACGCAAACGCGCACGCAUGCACGCAAGCACGCAUGCACGCACGCACACAGGUGCACACCCACGCGCACGCACACGCACACGCGCCCGCACAAGCGUGCACACACACCCACAAAUGCACAAGCUCAUGCUCACGUACGCACAUACGCGCACCUCGUGUACACACGAGCACACGCAUACACAAGCCCACAUAUGCACACACACACACUGUCCUACACGUAAUGUUUUCCUUGUGCUCUUUAACACACACACACACACACACACACACACACAUGCGCACACACACACACACACACACACACACACACACACACACACACACACACACACACACACACACACACACACACACACACACACACACACACACACACACACGCCUUUGGCAGAAGGUACGCUGGGAACGGUGACACUUUGAGACGCUGUGGCGGUUGGCCAUUGACGCAGUGCCGCUGCCGGGAAACUCGCAUACGCCGUUGGCUCGCCGUGAGCCAUGCGGCUGUGGGCAGCACGGCCAUGGGGGCGCCGCGGCGGAGGCACACGCCGCCGCCGCGCCCACGCCAUGGCAGCACCACUUCUGGGAUUGCGCGGUGGCGAAGGCCGUUGUGGCGCAGAUCAACGCACGCAACCCCGGUCCGGCUCCCAUCAGCCAAGCCCAGCUGUGGCUGGUCCAGGCGCCGCCGGGUUUUCAGCAGUGUGUUUGGGACGUGGUGGUGAUGGACACGGCUGGGAGUGGAAUGCGUCUUUAAUGUCUACUAUCAAUAGCUACUCGGCAUUAGGUGAGGUGUGAGCAUCAGGGGAUAAAGAAUUCGAGGUGUACGCGACGAACGGAAAACCCACCGGGGUCGAUGGGUUUUUUUUCGUUUCGCACACAAGCCGUAUUCCUCAAUUCUUAUUGUCUGUACCACUUUAUAGAGCCAAACUGUAUUCGUUUGUCAUCAACAAUGCAUCCAACACCAGCCGCAGACUGUGCGAGGAGGGAUUGAUUUCGAACUUAGCUGGCAGACCUCACUAGAAUGACUGUCUUCUCCCGGUUCGGUUGCCUUGGGAACCCCACUCAAAUGCUACAUGAGCUUGGUCGGGCAGUGGAGCGUGCGCGGCAUUGGAAGUCCACUUUCAAGCGGCAAUUCUUCCUCGCGGCAGUUUCGCUGGGGAAGUGUGAGCCCGGCAGCCAGCUGGUGGUCUACAAGGAUGGCGUGGAGUACAUCGGCACCCUGCCCGCAACAGCAAAGCCGUUCCUGCUCUUCGGCACGACGUUUGUCCCCAGCAGGCCGCGGGGGGCGCCAGCGCCCGAGGUGGGCAGCAGAGGACACUGUGACCAGUCCAGCUGCAGACACUUAGGCACCCCCUUAAAUGUACUGCUGUUUACGCAGAACCCCCCCGUGCCAGUGACCUUGAUGGAGCUCACGGGGUCCAAGUCAAAGCCCGAGCGGGCAUGCGACUACGUGCGGGAGGGCGGCGCCCUGCUGGUGCAGGAAAUCAUGGCGGGGCAAGAGGGGUGGCUGCAGGCAGACCUGAGCGGCAAGGCAAGAAUGCUGCUGGAGAUUGCCGCACUGGAGGGCGCUCCCACACCGGGCACCCUCGCAGCAAACAACCCCACGUACAACUACGCGGUCCGCGCUUUUGAGGAUGCCGCACAGGUGCGAAAGGCUUCCCGGUGAUUACAGGUGCUGCCCAACUACGGCCAUGUUGUACUGCUCCUGACCCACGUCCUCCGAUAGAUUAUGAUGGCCACUCACACACUUAACCAUGCAGGAGCUGACCAACAAGGCCGUGGCGCAGCAGCUGGCAGAGGAGCGGGCACAGGCACAGCAGCUGGCAGAGGCGCAGGCGCAGGUGCAGCAGCUGGCAGAGGCGCGGGCGCAGGCGCAGCAGCUGGCAGAGGCGCAGGCGCAGGUGCAGCAGCUGGCAGAGGCGCAGGCGCAGGCGCAGCAGCUGGCAGAGGCGCAGGCGCAGGCGCCGGUGGUACAGGGGUGGUCACCCGAAGACCAACAGCCUGGCGGCUCGGCUGGGCCCGCGGAGUACGUGCCGGCUACAGAGCUCACUGAGGCGGGCAGUGAUGCCGGCACCGACACGACACAGGACACAAAGCAGCUCGGCGCCGCCAGUACCCGCACCAGCGAGCCGCCUGCACGUCGCGUACCUGCUUCUUUGACCCAGCAGCGUAUGGCUGGGGAGGUCAGCAACAGUGGCGCAAGUGGUGAACCACCGAGAUUUACCGUUGCAAGGUCAAGGAGGUGCCACCUGCCCUGCAGUGCGGCCUGGGCCUUGCCGCCGUGCGUCUGCCGGCAACGCUUACAAGGCUGAUCAACCCUCGCCUGAUCGCGGAGCUGGCGUCGCUGGCGGACAAACGCGGAGAGCAGAUCUUCCAGCGCAUCUCAGCACUGCAGGGCGUGCAGGCGGAGAUCCGGAUGAGCGUGGGGACGGGCCAGCGGGUUCAGGUGCUGUGGAAGGACCUCGCGGGCAGCGCUGGGCUCCUGGUGCUCUGCGACAAACUGCGACCGUUGCUGGAGGAGGUCGUGACAGCGGCAGACCCGAAGGGUGAGCUGGGGCUGCACCUGGAGGACGCCGUGCUGCUGGCGAACCUGCCCGGCACUCGUCCGGUUGCCGAGCAGGUGCCCCACUACGACAUGGCGCCAGGGGAGCCCGGGUGGUUCAUCAUGCUCGCCCUCCAGCCGGCAAGCCUGCUGGUGGCGCAGGCCAGUCAGCACGAGGUCCUGCUGUGGGGCCGCGCGUACACCGCAGCACAGGAGGCGGGCCGGACUGCAGCUGUGCUGAAGGACCUCUGCGCCAGCACCCCCCACCGGCGGCUGGUGCGCCUGCAGCUGCCGGUGGGCGAGUUGCUGUUCGUGCACUCCAACCUCGUGCAUGCAGGCGACGCCGGGCGACUGGAUGGCAGCUACUCCCUGCGGCUGCACUGGUUCGUGAAGAGUGCGAAAACAACGAACAACACCCACCUGCCGCGCCAGAUCCACGUGGAGCUCGAGAAGCGCUUUGUGUGAUGGCUCAGACACACUCAGGAUGAAGGGGCGGGGCGGGGCGGGGCGGGGCGGGGCGGGGCGGGGCGGGGCGGGGCGGGGCGGGGCGGGGCGGGGCGGGGCGGGGCGGGGCGGGGCGGGGCGGGGCGGGGCGGGGCGGGGCGGGGCGGGGCCGGGUGGCGGGGCGGCCACAUUGGGAAGGUGAAUAUGCUUGUCAAUUAGGUUGUGUGGGAAAUAGAACAGGUUCAUCAGUGUGGCGGCAAGACAAACCAAGUUGACACGCGCUGUCACUCGUCUGGGUUCUGUCUGUGUUGCACCCUAGCAUUCUUACGGCUUCGUCGUCAGGGUAAAAGCUUGUCCCCUUGACAUAUGAACAGUUUGUGUGGCGAGGUUGUCAUGACCAGGGACUGGAGCGAGAUUAGAGAUGGGCCAGGGCGGGCCCCCUGACACCUCAGCACUGUUUAGUCCAGAAGUUCCCGGUUCUAAUUAAGCCUACUUUUUGGUGGUAGUUGCGACAUCAUUAUCUGACACCGUGCGGAAGUGAAGGUGGGGGUGGGUGGGGGCAGCAGUUGUUUGUUUGCUGCAAUCGCACGUCCAUGGACGCAACUCUAAACUGCUGGUUCUACGGACUGAAACGUUUCAGUCCGUAGAACCAGUACUGUGUGAGAAUCAAGAAGCCACUAGCAAAGCUUAAAGUUACAGGAAUUACUAUGUUGGCGGGCGGCCCUCCUUUGGGCCGGCCAUCCGAAUCAAUCGGCCUGUCCGAAAUGGGCCGCCCAGGCCUCUGGGCUGGGCGCCCAGACUGCCCCUCCCAUCCGAACCUCCCGGUCUGAACUUUUCGGACCGGCUUCGGACCAGCUUCGGACCAGGUUCGGACGUCAAACCCCGGUUUCGGACGCCUUGGUUUUCCCCGAGUGAUAUGGCCACAAGCAAAGCGUCGUUGCAUGCACAAACCAUCUCAUCCCAGCCAGCCGCCGAAUGCAUGCGUGCAUCCCUGCUGCCAGCCUACCGUGGAUCAACUGCCUGCUAUCUAUCUAGUUGCGUGAGUCCGCCUACGACCGUACUGAUCCCCAUAAUGUACCACCACGCCUGCCCUGGCGACCUGGCUUGUCGCAGCUUGUCCCAGGCCUGAUUGGUGGUGCACGGGCAGCUCCAGGGCCAUUCUCCUGGAGGAUGUGGACUGUGAUGGAGACGACCUGCUGGACUCGGUGUGUUACGACCUGGCGGGCAAUCCAGGCAUCAUCGGCUCAGGGAUUGACUGCACGGACACCUGGCCCUCCGUGGCAGCCUCCUAUUGCCCGCCUGUUUUCAACGGUACGAACGCUAGCUAUGACGGGCACGCGCACGGGCAUAUGGCAAUGCAUAUAGAUGCACGUACGACCACCUGCACGCAAAUCCUAUACUGCCUAUAAUCAGAAUCUUUGCGCCUGAUAUGAGUGAUGCUUGCUCCUUUCCUGACCCGGCCUGCCCUUCCCCACCGCUUCUCAAUUAGGGCAGGGCACCAUCAGAUGGGCCACACAUUGCCACCUGCCAUACCUGCAUCAGCACCCCAACUCCUAGUCCCAGCCUGAUUAUACAAUGCACCAUGUGCCAACACUCCAUACAAACGCUGGAAACACAAACAGCCAACUGCCCCACAGCCACCUGGACCCACAUAUCCCUCCCCCCCCCCCGCCUCCUUAGGGGCACCAUCAGAUGGGCCACACAUUGCCACCUGCCAUACCUGCAUCAGCACCCCAACUCCUAGUCCCAGCCUGAUUAUACAAUGCACCAUGUGUCAGCACUCCAUACAAAUGCUGGAAACACAAACAGCCUACUGCCCCACAGCCACCUGGACCCACAUAUCCCUCCCCCCCCCGCCUCCUUUGGGGCACCAUCAGAUGGGCCAUGCAUUGCCACCUGCCAUACCUGCAUCAGCACCCCAACUCCUAGUCCCAGCCUGAUUAUACAAUGCACCAUGUGCCAACACUCCAUACAAAUGCUGGAAACACAAACAGCCAACUGCCCCACAGCCACGUGGACCCACAUAUCCCUCCCCCCCCCCCCUGCCUCCUUAGGGGCACCCACAGGUGGAUGGGCCACGCAUUGCCAUCUGCCAUACCUGCAUCAGCACCCCAACUCCUAGUCCCAGCCUGAUUAUUCAAUGCACCAUGUGCCAACACUCCAUACAAAUGCUGGAAACACAAACAGCCAACUGCCCCACAGCCACGUGGACCCACAUAUCCCUCUCCCCCCCCCCGCCUCCUUAGGGGCACCAUCAGAUGGGCCACACAUUGCCACCUGCCAUACCUGCAUUGGCACCCCAACUCCUAGUCCCAGCCUGAUUAUACAAUGCACCAUGUGCCAACACUCCAUACAAAUGCUGGAAACACAAACAGCCAACUGCCCCACAGCCACCUGGACCCACAUAUCCCUCCCCCCCCGCCUCCUUAGGGGCACCCACAGGUGGGCCACACAUUGCCACCUGCCAUACCUGCAUCGGCACCCCAACUCCUAGUCCCAGCCUGAUUAUUCAAUGCACCAUGUGCCAACACUCCAUACAAACGCUGGAAACACAAACAGCCUACUGCCCCACAGCCAC